This 496-nucleotide unclassified non-coding RNA is filed under the name Hevea brasiliensis (rubber tree). Lineage: Eukaryota; Viridiplantae; Streptophyta; Magnoliopsida; Malpighiales; Euphorbiaceae. The record is from RNAcentral.
UGAAAAGCCAAAGUGCAGCUCAUGGUCUUCUGGUUGAACUUAUUGAUUCUGUGGAUGACUUCCAAGUGGUAGUUUCUGAUUCCAAACAGUCAAAUUUGGACACUGUGCAGCCAUGUGAUGCAAAACAAUCUUCAUUGAGUAACCCAUUUUCAGAAAUGAAUGGAAAUAGAACCUCAUGUUCUUACGUUGAAAUGCCAAUCCAUGUUGGAACGAGUGGAUUAGGGACCAGUGGAGUGGCUAUGGAGGGGCCAUCUGAAUCAGGUCCUUGCCAUUUGAAUAACAACAAUUGGAUUACAGGUGAUCAAUCUAGGCAUUGCUCAUCAAGGGAACCAUCCUGUAAUGGACUUAUGCUCAAUGAUUGGGGAAGAUGUGGCAUGCCUUCUCUUUCAUGGGGUGGUAGGGUUGUGGGCAGAAGACAGUUAAAAUGUUACGCAAAAGGGAAUUGUGGGGUUCGUGGGGAGGAAUAUGAUACGUUUGUCAAUAUAUUUGAAGGGGG